This 259-nucleotide ribosomal RNA is filed under the name uncultured bacterium. RNAcentral's name for it is "partial small subunit ribosomal RNA". It matches the Rfam family "Bacterial small subunit ribosomal RNA", at positions 26 to 287 of the family's 1533-position model. The record is from RNAcentral.
AGGACGAACGCUGGCGGCGUGCCUAACACAUGCAAGUCGAACGGAUUUAGGGGCAACUCUAAGUCAGUGGCGAACGGGUGCGUAACACGUGAGAAAUCUUACUUCCGGCGGGGGAUAGCCGGCCCAACGGCCGGGUAAUACCGCGUACGCUCGUUGAGGGGCAUCCCUUGGCGAGGAAGCAGCAAUGCACCGGAAGGGGAUCUCGCGGCCUAUCAGCUAGUUGGUGAGGUCACGGCUCACCAAGGCGACGACGGGUAGC